GACGUAGGGCGCAAGCGUUGUCCGGAAUUAUUGGGCGUAAAGAGCUCGUAGGCGGCCUGUCGCGUCGGCUGUGAAAACUCAGGGCUCAACCCUGAGCCUGCAGUCGAUACGGGCGGACUAGAAUUCGGUAGGGGAGACUGGAAUUCCCGGUGUAGCGGUGAAAUGCGCAGAUAUCGGGAGGAACACCAAUGGCGAAGGCAGCUCGCUGGGACGGUACUGACGCUGAGACGCGAAAGCGUGGGGAGCAAACAGGG
Molecule: ribosomal RNA, 254 nt
Filed under: uncultured bacterium
Lineage: Bacteria
Description: partial 16S ribosomal RNA
Rfam family: Bacterial small subunit ribosomal RNA
Source: RNAcentral